GAUGAACGCUGGCGGCGUGCCUAAUACAUGCAAGUCGAGCGAACAGACGAGGAGCUUGCUCCUCUGACGUUAGCGGCGGACGGGUGAGUAACACGUGGAUAACCUACCUAUAAGACUGGGAUAACUUCGGGAAACCGGAGCUAAUACCGGAUAAUAUAUUGAACCGCAUGGUUCAAUAGUGAAAGACGGUUUUGCUGUCACUUAUAGAUGGAUCCGCGCCGCAUUAGCUAGUUGGUAAGGUAACGGCUUACCAAGGCAACGAUGCGUAGCCGACCUGAGAGGGUGAUCGGCCACACUGGAACUGAGACACGGUCCAGACUCCUACGGGAGGCAGCAGUAGGGAAUCUUCCGCAAUGGGCGAAAGCCUGACGGAGCAACGCCGCAUGAGUGAUGAAGGUCUUCGGAUCGUAAAACCCUGUUAUUAGGGAAGAACAAAUGUGUAAGUAACUAUGCACGUCUUGACGGUACCUAAUCAGAAAGCCACGGCUAACUACGUG
RNAcentral lists this ribosomal RNA (497 nucleotides) under uncultured bacterium. RNAcentral describes it as "partial 16S ribosomal RNA". It matches the Rfam family "Bacterial small subunit ribosomal RNA", at positions 28 to 507 of the family's 1533-position model. The record is from RNAcentral.